GUGGCAUUAGCUCAGUUGGUAGAGCAGUUGACUUUUAAUCAAUUGGUCGCAGGUUCGAAUCCUGCAUGCCACGCCA
RNAcentral lists this transfer RNA (76 nucleotides) under Escherichia coli. RNAcentral's name for it is "tRNA-Lys". It matches the Rfam family "tRNA". Rfam says of the family: Transfer RNA (tRNA) molecules are approximately 80 nucleotides in length. Their secondary structure includes four short double-helical elements and three loops (D, anti-codon, and T loops). Lineage: Bacteria; Pseudomonadati; Pseudomonadota; Gammaproteobacteria; Enterobacterales; Enterobacteriaceae. The record is from RNAcentral.